UUGGGAGGAACGUCAACUAAGACCCGCCACAUCCUGUGGCGAACGUUGACGUCAGCACAUCCUGUGCA
RNAcentral lists this small RNA (68 nucleotides) under Mesobacillus foraminis. RNAcentral describes it as "Bacillus foraminis Bacillaceae-1 RNA". It matches the Rfam family "Bacillaceae-1 RNA". Lineage: Bacteria; Bacillati; Bacillota; Bacilli; Caryophanales; Bacillaceae. The record is from Rfam by way of RNAcentral.